GGCCGGGUAGCUUAAGGAAAGCGCCGUUUUAACAUAGACGGAGAUCAGGGUUCAAAUCCCUGCCCGGCUACCA
RNAcentral lists this transfer RNA (73 nucleotides) under bacterium. RNAcentral's name for it is "tRNA-Leu". It matches the Rfam family "tRNA". Rfam says of the family: Transfer RNA (tRNA) molecules are approximately 80 nucleotides in length. Their secondary structure includes four short double-helical elements and three loops (D, anti-codon, and T loops). The record is from RNAcentral.